CCUGAGAAAACGGAGGUACUUGAGCUUGGCAAUGGUGGGCUGGAUUGGGCCGGUGAGGUUAGAGAGCUUGCGGAAGAUUAGUGUUUGCAGAUAAGGUAAGUCGCCUACUUCAGGAGGGAUCUGAGCGGAUAUCUGGUCGUAACUAAUGUGUAGGGAGGUGACACGGUGGUUGACGGUGGCGUCGCCGCAGUCAACGUUGAACCAGGUGCAGCAGUCUUCUUUGGGGUCCCAGGAGAUGAUGUUGUUGUAAGGGUUGCUAAGUGACUUCUUGAUCUUGAGGAGAGUGUUUUUGUCAUCUUUGUGACAGAGAUCUUUAGAUAAAGAGGUCGUGAGGAAGAGCGUGAAGAACAAGAAGAGGAGCAGGGUCGUUGCCUUACUCAUAAUGGUAGUGUGCUUGAGUAUGAGUUGUAGUGGAAACUUCUAAUGAUAUAUAGGCUAACGGCCUAACGUAAUCAAUUGGAAACUUAGUGGUAGGGUUUUACUAAUUAUAUUUGCUGACUAGACCACAUGCUAAACAAGUUAUGGACGGUGCGUGUGAACUCAUGGUUCAAAUUCUCCCCGGGCUAGAUAAAUUUGAGUUGAGAAAGUAAUUGGGCCUUCAGAAGUGAAGCCCAUAAUAAGAAUUAAUUGCGCGAGUCCGAAAAUUGAAAAACGAGGCCCGUGAGUUAGUUAUUACCGUUAUAAGUGAAAACAGAGAAUAAGUAUUCAUCCUUAUUCUUCCUCUAUUUGUGGUAACUUCUACCUUCAUUUUCACUUUAAAAAUGUUCUAAGAACUCAUAAAAAUACAAGUUGUGACACAUGUUUUAUUUAAUCAAUCUUGAUGAUAUUAUUUUUUUUUUUUUGGGAAAACUAGAGAUAAGCUUGGUUUAUUACUUGCAACUACUAUCAAGAGGUGCACCACAUAAACACUUGUUAUGAAAAUAUGUAUAAGAAUCAAAUCUCUGAAGACUUCCUCCAGUGGGGAUGGGUCCACACAGUCUGUUAUAGCUAACAUUUAAGAUUUGGAGAGAAUAUUCAGUCCACUGAACCGGAAUACUCCCUGUGAUCCCAUUGUGGUUCAAGUCCAGUACACCAAGUGACUCAUGGAGCACAACUCUGGACAGAUCAAACUGGAACAUGUUUCUUGAUAAGUCAAUGGAAAACGUCGUUUUGUUGGCUCCAAACAACAUCGAAGCAUCGCCUGUGAGCUUGUUCCUUGAGAAAUCUAUCCGGUUAAAAUCAAGGUUGCCUAGUGAUUUGGGUAUAGAACCGGAGAGCUGAUUGUGUGAAAAGAUAAGGUAAGGAACUUCUGCUGGAAACGAUCCAAAUGAUUCAGGUAUUGUACCUAAGUGAAAGUUAGAAAAAAAGCAUUUUAAUAAUCAUAUUUUAAGCGACGAAUAGUAGAAUCAAAGAGAUUUUGUGACCAAAAAAAAAAAGUAGAAUCAAAGAGAUUACUUAGUUUACCUGUAAGUUUAUUCCUACUAACAUCAAUGUACGAAAGUUUAGGUAACAAAGCGAGGGAGCUAGGUAUGGAACCAGAGAGCUGAUUGAAGGCAAGGCUUAAGUAUUCAAGAUUCAUGAGCUGACUAAGGAAAUCAGGAACCGGGCCGGUGAGGUUCAACCAGCUAAGCCUGAGAGAACGGAGAUGCUUAAGCUUGGUGAUGGUGGAUGGGAUCUGACCGGUGAUGUUAGUGAUCCUGUGGAACAUAAGAUUCUGAAGAUACGGUAAGUCACCCACUUCAGGCGGAAUCUGACCGGAUAUCUGACCGGCGAAUAUGGUUAGGGAGAUGACGCGGUGGUUAACGGUGGCGUCGCCGCAUUCGAGGCAGUACCAGGAGCAGCAGUCGGUUUCCGGGUGCCACGAGGCGAGGUGGUAAGGGUUGUUUAGGGACUUCUUGAUUUUAAGGAGGGUGUUUUUGUCGUUUUGGUUACAUAGAUCUUUCGAUGUCGCGAUGGUGAUGAGGUACGUGAUGAAAAACAAGAGCGAGAAAAGCAGUGUCGUGUUUGUCUUAUGAUCCAUGUUGUAUGGUGUUUGGUUUUGAAUAUUUUUUUUGUUGAAAGUGUGACGAUGAUAUAAACACUAUCGAGAUUAGAUAUUUGAUUUGAUAGAAACCUUAAUAGUCAGUCAAUACGUGUGAUUAAGAUGUCGGUGUUGAAUAUGGUUGGCUGGUGCCAACAUGCUGGCAGUCAACAUGUGCCACUUGAGUACUACUACUCUCUCAGCCACGGCUUCUAUUUUCUGAUUAAAAAAAAAAAAUUCAUAUGUAUAUAAAUGUUUGGGUUUAUAAUCUUACACGAAGCACUUUUAAGCUUCAAUAUAUGAAAUUUGCUUUUGAUACAAUUUUAAAACAGUUUCCACAAAUAGUUUUAUUUUCGAAAUGAGAAAAUUUAUAUAAUUUAAAACAGGAUUUGAAAAAUGAGAUGCACCAAAAAGAAAAUAGCAUCUAAAUGUAUUUCAUGAAACUAAAAUAUGACUAGAAAAGCAUCUGACAUGAAAUAACAUCUGGCGUGAGAGAAAAAGCAUGGAGCUGAUCCUUCUCCACCUAUCAAACUAGAAAAGCAUCUAUAGGACUAUCAGAAACAGAACAUAUGCAGAUGGGAUAGCAAUAUGGUUUGGCUCAAGGAUAAGCACCUAAAUCAUUCUUUACAUUCUUUUCUUCUUUAUUCUUUCUCUAUUUAGAAGUUAAAAACACCUUUCGGACACGGAAGCUCUAGAUGUUAAAUAAGGUUCUUAGUUUUUUUAGUUAAAAGUUAAGAAACGGUUUUUUAUAUUCCGCUAAGAACAAGAAACGGUUUUUUAUAUUCCGCUAAGAACCUCACCCUAAGAACUCUCCAUUAAUCAUGCUCUUAUAAGUGAAAAUAGAGGAUAAGUAUUCGUCCUUAUUCUUCCUCUAUUUGUGGUAAGCUCUACCUUCAUUUUCACUUUAAAAAUGUUCUAAGAACUCAUCAAAAUACAAGUUGUGAUACAUGUUUUAUUUAAUCAAUCUGGAUGAUAUUACAUUUUUUUUUUUGGGAAAACUAGAGAUAAGCUUGGUUUAUUACUUGCAACUAUCAAGAGGUGCACCACACAAACACUUGUUGUGAAAAUAUAUAUAAGAAUCAAAUCUCUGAAGACUGCCUCCAGUGGGGAUGGGUCCACACAGUCUGUUAUAGCUAACGUUUAAGAGUUGGAGAGAAUAUUCAGUCCACUGAACCGGAAUACUCCCUGUGAUCCCAUUGUGGUUCAAAUCCAGUACACCAAGUGACUGAGGGAGCACAACUCUGGACAGAUCAAACUGGAACAUGUUUCUUGAUAAGUCAAUGGAAAACGUCGUUUUGUUGGCUCCAAACAACAUCGAAGCAUCGCCUGUGAGCUUGUUCCUUGAGAAAUCUAUCCGGUUAAAAUCAAGGUUGCCUAGUGAUUUGGGUAUAGAACCGGAGAGCUGGUUGUGUGAUAAGAUAAGGUAAGGAACUUCUCCUGGAAACGAUCCAAAUGACUCUGGUAUUGUACCUAAGUGAAAGUUAAAACGUUGUGAAUAGAAAAAUAACAAUGUAAUAAACAGUUUAUUUUUUAUAAUCGUUUUUUUAUACAUAAAAGAGUUAUUCACCUGUAAGCUUAUUCCUACUAAGAUCAAUGUACGUAAGUUUAGGUAACAGGGAGAGAGAGCUAGGUACUGAACCAGAAAGCUCAUUGAACGAAAGGUUUAAGUAGUCAAGAUUCACGAGCUGACUAAGAAAAUCAGGAACCGGGCCGGUGAGGUUCGUCCAGCUAAGCCAUAGAAACGUGAGAUACUUGAGCUUGGUGAUGCUGUGUGGGAUCUGACCGGUGAGGUUAGUGAGUUUGCGGAAGACAAGCUUCUGAAGAUACGGUAAGUCACCGACUUCAGGCGGGAUCUGACCGGAUAUCUGACCGGCGAAUAUGGUUAGGGAGAUGACGCGGUGGUUAACGGUGGCGUCGCCGCAUUCGAGGCAGUACCAGGAGCAGCAGUCGGUUUCGGGGUGCCACGAGGCGAGGUGGUAAGGGUUGUUUAGGGACUUCUUGAUCUUGAGGAGGGUCUUUUUGUCGUUUUGGUUACAUUGAUCUUUUGAUGACGCGUUCGCGAGGUGUGUGAUGAAAAACAAGAGCGAGAAAAGCAGUGUCGAAUGUAUUUUAUUAUCCAUGUUGUAUG
Molecule: long non-coding RNA, 4127 nt
Filed under: Brassica napus (rape)
Lineage: Eukaryota; Viridiplantae; Streptophyta; Magnoliopsida; Brassicales; Brassicaceae
Description: long non-coding RNA (BNAP_LNC023800)
Source: RNAcentral